Non-coding RNA from Pelobates cultripes (western spadefoot toad), 545 nucleotides. Lineage: Eukaryota; Metazoa; Chordata; Amphibia; Anura; Pelobatidae. The record is from the annotation of a GenBank genome assembly.
GUAUGAUCUCUCUAAAAGCUGAAAAUGAAUUUGAUAGUUGGGGUUUCACAGCCCCAGAUCCUUUUCAAGCGUGUAAGGAAAGAGUAUGUAAGAAAGCCAUAGCAGGACUGGUAGAUCAAGAUGGUGAAACACAAACAGAAAGUAAGGACAUUAUAAAUAUUGUCACAAAAUAUUUUAAGCAGUUGUUUGCAAGACAGCCUAUUGCAAAUGAAAAUAUUUGCAAGAUGUUGAUAAUCCGGUAUUAAAUGCAGUGGAUGCUGAGACCAUGGUUAAGCCUAUAACAGAGGAAGAAGUUAGACAUAGCAUUCAAUCAUUAGUUGGGAAGAAAAGUCCAGGAUUGGAUGGGAUAACUGCAGAGUUUUAUAAAGUGUUUUUAGAUCUUUUGGUAACGGAUCUUGUAAUGCUAUAUAAUGAAGUGCUAACUCUGGGACAGUUGCCGUCCUCACAGUAUGCCUCAGUCUUGGUACUUUUAUCUAAAAGUGGUAAUUUGAAUGAACUAAAGAACUGGCGUCCGUUAUCAUUAUUGAAUACUGAUUACAAAAUUC